RNAcentral lists this long non-coding RNA (1384 nucleotides) under Mustela putorius furo (domestic ferret). RNAcentral describes it as "lncRNA (ENSMPUG00000032094.1)". Lineage: Eukaryota; Metazoa; Chordata; Mammalia; Carnivora; Mustelidae. The record is from RNAcentral.
GUUGGAAAUUACAUCUGUGCAUGAUAUUUCUGUUGUGCUGGUCCCUGAGCUUACCCCAAGCUCUGUUUGUGUUUGUGCUUGUUAUUUAUUAGGAACCAGAGCUGGUCCCAUGGCCGAGCCAGACUCAUCCUGGGAAGCGGCUCCAGGAAGCAUAAAUGCUGGGAAGAGGCGUGCACCAGGAGCCACCCAAGUGUGCUCUACCACACUUUCAAGGGUUCCAUUUUGCUCAACCUUAAAACAAUAUGAUACAUUUUUAUAAAAAGACCUGAUACAAAAAGCUCUAGAAAACGUCAAGAAAAAAAAGUCAACUUUCUACACAAUAGGACAUAGUAUUGCGGGUGUUUCAGCAAGACCCUGCAAGUAUUCACCGCCUGUUGUAUGCAAACUACCAGAUGCUAAAGAGAGGAGUAAAAGCUUCCCAAGUGGCUUGCAAUGAGAAACUCACCACGAAUUUCCGGAGUGGGAGACUGAACAAUAUGAAAGCAUUCCAUGUUAUGACCUAGUUGUGUGUUGCCAACUACACACCAUGUGGGCUCCCUGCUUACCCAUUGUCUCUCCAUCAUGUCUUCUUCUGUCGGUGCGUGUGUGUGUGUUUCCCCUUUUCGGGUUCCCGAGAUUCUAAUUGAGGAGAUUGGAUGUAGAACCAGCAGAAGAAUGUUUGAUGAUUAUGACUUAACAAGAUCAUUUUUUCUGUGCAUUUCUAUUGGAGAACCCCUAGCAUGGGUGUUCACAGGAGAUGGAGAAAGAAGAGCAGUGAGGUCAAGGGAGUUUCUGGAAGAAGAGGUCCUUACAGAAAUCUUAACCAUGAGGUUGCUUGAUGGUGUCCUGACUGAUCAAGCCCGAGGAAGUUCCUCCUCACAUCUGUGCAGCGGGUCUUAAGCGUGGGGACUGAUCAUCCCAUCCUUCCGAAUCCUCAGGCAAGAAAAAUGGGAGCCAACUCACUCAUAAAUUAUAGCAACUCUUUGUCAUUUUGGUCCUUGCCCCUUCUUUUGUCUGGGAUGUUUCUUCCCUAAAUAUUGUUACGGUUCUGUCGCUCACACCCUUCGAAUAUCUACCCAGAUUUCAGAAAGGGCUUCCCCAGCUACCCUGCAAUGAAAGCACCCUUCACUGAUCGUCUUCCUUACCCUAACUUCUUCCUGUUUUUCUUUAGCCUGCUCACGUGGAUUCUAGAAAGCUAAUGUCCUCUGAUGCUGCUGAAGUCAUAAUUCACCCACCAUCCAUUCCUCGCAUCAGUGCUUUCUGAGCACCUGCUAUGUGUCAGGGACUGUGCUAUGUUGGAUUGGUAAAGGGAGGAACACGGGAGACAUCUGCCAUCAUUCUAGUCUAGGCACAACUAACAAAGUAGUGAAUGAGUCCAUCCGGUCAUCUCACCAUGGAAACAGGG